This 270-nucleotide long non-coding RNA is filed under the name Ananas comosus (pineapple). Its description in RNAcentral is "long non-coding RNA (ACOM_LNC020395)". Lineage: Eukaryota; Viridiplantae; Streptophyta; Magnoliopsida; Poales; Bromeliaceae. The record is from RNAcentral.
AGGAUUUUUUUUUAAAAUAUUGCAUUAAACAGAAAAAAAAGCAAAAAAUGAGAAGCAAUUAAUUACAAUUUAUAAAUUAUAAAUUAAUACCGGCCGUCCCUAGAGCAAGUGGCAAAGAAUUUGGUGGUUGGUACCUGAGACCCAAAUUCGUAUCAUAAUUGAUUCACAUGUCCAGUUAAGUUUAUUUCUAAAUAAAAUAAGUAAAGCAGAUAGUAUAAAAAAAAAUGAAUCCUGGUAAAGGGUGAAGCUAAAACCUAAAAAGAGGAUAAA